GAGUUUGAUCUUGGCUCAGGAUAAACGCUGGCGGCGCACAUAAGACAUGCAAGUCGAACGGACUUAAUCGAUUCUUUUAGAUUCGAAGCGGUUAGUGGCGGACUGGUGAGUAACACGUAAGCAACCUGCCUGUUAGAGGGGAAUAACAGUGAGAAAUCACUGCUAAAACCGCAUAUGCCGUGAACAUCGCAUGAUAGAAAAACGGGAAAAGAGCAAUCUGCUAAUAGAUGGGCUUGCGUCUGAUUAGCUAGUUGGU
This 256-nucleotide ribosomal RNA is filed under the name uncultured bacterium. RNAcentral describes it as "partial 16S ribosomal RNA". It matches the Rfam family "Bacterial small subunit ribosomal RNA", at positions 9 to 253 of the family's 1533-position model. The record is from RNAcentral.